RNAcentral lists this ribosomal RNA (1419 nucleotides) under Salmonella enterica. RNAcentral's name for it is "partial 23S ribosomal RNA". It matches the Rfam family "Bacterial large subunit ribosomal RNA", at positions 1398 to 2802 of the family's 2925-position model. Lineage: Bacteria; Pseudomonadati; Pseudomonadota; Gammaproteobacteria; Enterobacterales; Enterobacteriaceae. The record is from RNAcentral. RNAcentral also lists the same sequence under 2 other names.
GAGGCCGAAAGGCGUAGUCGAUGGGAAACGGGUUAAUAUUCCCGUACUUGGUGUUACUGCGAAGGGGGGACGGAGAAGGCUAUGUUGGCCGGGCGACGGUUGUCCCGGUUUAAGCGUGUAGGCUGGUUUUCCAGGCAAAUCCGGAAAAUCAAGGCUGAGGCGUGACGACGAGGCACUACGGUGCUGAAGCAACAAAUGCCCUGCUUCCAGGAAAAGCCUCUAAGCAUCAGGUAACACGAAAUCGUACCCCAAACCGACACAGGUGGUCAGGUAGAGAAUACCAAGGCGCUUGAGAGAACUCGGGUGAAGGAACUAGGCAAAAUGGUGCCGUAACUUCGGGAGAAGGCACGCUGACAUGUAGGUGAAGUGAUUUACUCAUGGAGCUGAAGUCAGUCGAAGAUACCAGCUGGCUGCAACUGUUUAUUAAAAACACAGCACUGUGCAAACACGAAAGUGGACGUAUACGGUGUGACGCCUGCCCGGUGCCGGAAGGUUAAUUGAUGGGGUCAGCGCAAGCGAAGCUCCUGAUCGAAGCCCCGGUAAACGGCGGCCGUAACUAUAACGGUCCUAAGGUAGCGAAAUUCCUUGUCGGGUAAGUUCCGACCUGCACGAAUGGCGUAAUGAUGGCCAGGCUGUCUCCACCCGAGACUCAGUGAAAUUGAACUCGCUGUGAAGAUGCAGUGUACCCGCGGCAAGACGGAAAGACCCCGUGAACCUUUACUAUAGCUUGACACUGAACAUUGAGCCUUGAUGUGUAGGAUAGGUGGGAGGCUUUGAAGUGUGGACGCCAGUCUGCAUGGAGCCGACCUUGAAAUACCACCCUUUAAUGUUUGAUGUUCUAACGUGGACCCGUGAUCCGGGUUGCGGACAGUGUCUGGUGGGUAGUUUGACUGGGGCGGUCUCCUCCUAAAGAGUAACGGAGGAGCACGAAGGUUGGCUAAUCCUGGUCGGACAUCAGGAGGUUAGUGCAAUGGCAUAAGCCAGCUUGACUGCGAGCGUGACGGCGCGAGCAGGUGCGAAAGCAGGUCAUAGUGAUCCGGUGGUUCUGAAUGGAAGGGCCAUCGCUCAACGGAUAAAAGGUACUCCGGGGAUAACAGGCUGAUACCGCCCAAGAGUUCAUAUCGACGGCGGUGUUUGGCACCUCGAUGUCGGCUCAUCACAUCCUGGGGCUGAAGUAGGUCCCAAGGGUAUGGCUGUUCGCCAUUUAAAGUGGUACGCGAGCUGGGUUUAGAACGUCGUGAGACAGUUCGGUCCCUAUCUGCCGUGGGCGCUGGAGAACUGAGGGGGGCUGCUCCUAGUACGAGAGGACCGGAGUGGACGCAUCACUGGUGUUCGGGUUGUCAUGCCAAUGGCACUGCCCGGUAGCUAAAUGCGGAAGAGAUAAGUGCUGAAAGCAUCUAAGCACGAAACUUGCCCCGA